This 2173-nucleotide unclassified non-coding RNA is filed under the name Leishmania donovani. Its description in RNAcentral is "gene:LdHU3.26.2100(CDS-product:Sphingolipid_Delta 4-desaturase_(DES)/Fatty_acid_desaturase_putative)". Lineage: Eukaryota; Euglenozoa; Kinetoplastea; Trypanosomatida; Trypanosomatidae. The record is from RNAcentral.
ACACACACACACACAAGUUUUUUGGUUAGGUACUUUUUAGGCCGCGCUUAGUCCACUUGGAAUAUAUGAAAAAGAAGAGCAAUAUUUUUUCAAAUCCGCUAUUUUUCUGUGCCUUACAAGAAGUUUUUUUUUUCCAUCAAAGUGUCUAUUCCUGCACCACACAACAUGCGCUAAGCUCCGCUCUACCGGGUCUGCCACAGGCACCCAGCGCGCGGUGCAACGCAGCCGCAGACACGCAUCAAAGCAGUGCCCGCUUUGCCAUCGGACCAGGGACUCGCCCGCAAACACUAGCGACACACCUGCCCUUCAGGCCGCCGAACAGCCGCUUCGAGUAUGCCGGUCGCCACGUGACACAUCGCUCGGGGUAGCCCAGCCUCCCCACCAGUAGGCAGCGAGAGCCGAGUGGGAUGCAUUGGAUUCACGCCAACGCCCUGCCCAUCAUAUGGGCGGCGCAAGCGCGCUGACGGUUUCAAGUUGCCCCAAAGGCGCGCCAUCCAGCCGCCGACCGCAAACAUCAGUAGCGACACAUCCCGCCGGCCCCCGAUGCCUAGGGCGCCAAGCCCCACCACAACCAGUGAUGACGCAGCAUUGCCCAGAAUAGGGGCUAUUCGGCUUCGCUAGACACAGAGUGGGAACUGGGACCUGAUGCCAUGCGCUGAGGUGUACGCUGUUGGGAGGGCACUUUAACAACUGCCCCUCAAAAAAAAAACCGAGGUAGAUUUCGAAAAUGUUUGCGAAGAGCGGCCGCGCCGACUACUACUGGUCUGACACGGAGUAUACGCACAGAACGCGGAACCGUGAGAUGCUGAAGGCACAUGGAGCAGAGAUCAAAAAGCUGUACGGCCCGGACCCGUGGCUUCGGUAUCUAAUGACACCGUUUGUUCUGCUCCAGAUUUAUCUUGGGUACCGUGCGAAGGACAUGGGGUGGCCCACUCUUCUUCUCGUCGGAUAUUUCGUGGGUGGAACAAUUACGCACAGCUGUUUCUUGGCAAUUCACGAGGCCACGCAUGGCCUCUGCUUCAUCACGCCGCUCUACAACGACCUUUACGCACUGUUCGUGAAUCUGGUGGUGCCCGUGCCAUAUGCGAUGAUGUUCAAGACUUACCACGCUGAGCAUCACCGCUACUUGGGCUGGGACGGCAUUGACUCUGAUGUGCCCACGCGGUUCGAGGGAAGGUAUCUAUCAAGCUACGCUGGCAAGUUUUUCUUUCUCACGUUUCAGGUGCUGUUCUACGCUCUCAGGCCCACUGUUGUGCGGACGAUCAAGUUUGAGAAGCUGCAUGUGAUGAACUACGUUGUGCAGCUGAUGUUCAACCUGCUCGUGUACUACUUCUGGGGCUGGUGGCCACUGCUGUACUUCCUUCUCUGUACUUUUCUAGGCACCAGUUGGCACCCACUCGCUGGUCACUUCAUCUGAGCAUUUUGUGCUCACGGGCAACGGUGGGCAAGAGACAUUCUCGUACUACGGCCCGCUGAACUGGCUAAUGUGGAAUGUCGGCUAUCAUGUUGAGCACCACGACUUUCCAAACAUUCCAUGGACACGAAUAGGGAAGCUGAAUACUAUUGCACCGGAGUUCUACGUUGAUCUGCACCGUACCAAGUCGUGGCCCGGGACUCUGUUCGACUUCCUACUAGACCCGAACGUGAGCCUCUGCAGCCGUGUUGUGCGCGAGCGCGGCUCUGCCGGACGUGAGAAGCUACUGCCGACAUCGACGGGUCGCAUGAAGGCGGCGGAGCCACACCAGGGUCCGUGCUUGUGGAAAAAGGAAGGUGGACCUAACAGCAGAGUGCUGUUCUUUCAUAUUCAGUGAUUUUUUCUGAUUUGGCUUUCGUCAAAUAGUUAAGAGGUCAUGCUGUUCGCUGGAUCGCUUAGCGCGAUGACAUCUAUUUAAAAGUUAUUCUUCGUGGAAGCGGUGCGUUGUGUCACUCUAUUUUUUCUUGCCUCUCCCUUCCCUUGGUCGGAAUUGCAUUGGUUCGUUGCUCUUCAUCUCUUGCUCUCUAGGGAGUAUUUUCAUUAAGACGGCUAAAGCUCUUACUUACGUUCGAGCUUUUGUGCGUGUGCAAGGUGCUUUGCCGGCGCGGCGGCGCAUCAUGCUUUUUUCCCUUGGCUUCAUUCCCUUCCGUGUUGGGCUGCAAAAGACAUGCGCGAACUAGCGGCUACAGGACGACAAAC